AAUAUAAUUUGAAAAUUAAUUAUUAUUAAAUUUUAUUUUUAUUAUUUAUAUAUUAAAAAUAUUUUUUAGUUUAAUUAUAUUAUUGAAUAAAUUAUUGUUAAUAAUAGAAGAUUAGUAUUGUUAAAGAAAUUAAUAUUAUUAUUUUAAAGAAAAUUUUAAUUUUUGUACCUUGUGUAUCAGGGUUUAUUAAAAAAAAAAUAAAAUUUUAUUAUUCUCGAAUUUAAAAGAGUUAUAAUUUUAUUUUUUUUAUUGUAGAAUAAAUAUUAUAAAUAAGGUUAUUGAAGUGAAAGGCUAUUCGAUUUUAAAUAUAUCUAGUUUUUUAAGAAAAAAGUUUAAUUUUAUUUUUAUUUGAUUAUAGUUAUUAAAUUUUUAAUAUUGUAAUAGUAAAAUUUAAUAAAUUAGGGGAUGAGCUUUAAUUUAUAUUAAUAUAAUUAUAUUGGUAUUAAUUUUAAAUAAAUAGGAUUAGAAGUUUUUAAUUUUUAUAAUGUUUUAUAACUAAUUUAAAAAUUAUUAAAAUUUUUAUAUGAUUUAUAUUAUAUAUUAAAAUAUAUGCAAUAAAUUUUCGAGUUUAGAAAAAAUGAUAAAAUUAGUAUAAUUAUUUGUUUAUUUAAUAAAAAAUUAAAAAUUGAGAAAAGGAAUUCGGCAAAUAUAAUUUUCACCUGUUUAUUAAAAACAUGUCUUUUUGAGUAUAAUUUAAAGUCUAACCUGCCCAAUGAUUUAUUUUAAAUGGCCGCGGUAAUUUGACCGUGCAAAGGUAGCAUAAUCAUUAGUUUUUUAAUUGGAAGCUUGUAUGAACGGUUUUAUGAGGAAUUAACUGUCUCUUUUUAAAUUAAUAGAAUUUUAUUUUUAAGUUAAAAAGCUUAAAUUUUUAUAGAAGACGAGAAGACCCUAUAGAGUUUUAUAUAUAGAAUAAUUAAUAAUUUUUAGAAUUUUAAUAUUUUAAAUGUUUUAUAUAAUUAGUUGGGGUGACUGAAAAAUUUAAUUAACUUUUUAAAAAGAAUUACAUUUAUUUAUGAUUAUAAGAUCCUUAUUUAAAGAUUUUAAGAUUAAAUUACCUUAGGGAUAACAGCGUUAUUUUUUUUUAGAGUUCUAAUCGAAAGAAAAGAUUGCGACCUCGAUGUUGGAUUAAAAUAUAAAUUUGGUGUAGAAGCUUAAUGGAUUAGGUCUGUUCGACCUUUAAAAUUUUACAUGAUCUGAGUUUAAACCGGUGUGAGCCAGGUUGGUUUCUAUCUCUAUUAUAUUACAAUAUUUUAGUACGAAAGGACCAAAUAUUAAUUUUAAGAAAUUAAAUUAAGAAUUUUAUUAAAAUAAUUAUUUUGGCAGAUUAGUGCAAUAGAUUUAGGAUCUUUUUAUGUAAUU
RNAcentral lists this ribosomal RNA (1359 nucleotides) under Hylastes ater. RNAcentral's name for it is "16S ribosomal RNA". The stretch from base 1062 to 1221 matches the Rfam family "Archaeal large subunit ribosomal RNA", at positions 2544 to 2703 of the family's 2987-position model. The record is from RNAcentral. Lineage: Eukaryota; Metazoa; Arthropoda; Insecta; Coleoptera; Curculionidae.